UGCAUCUAACUUUCACCUUUCAUUUCUGAAUUUUCAUCUUCCUUCACCUUCGCUCACCUUCCCUCUUUGAAUUUUCAUCUACCUUCAUCUCUUCUUGAAUUGUCCGUUUCUUCAUGUCAUCUGUUGCUUUAUUUUAGGUGACUUGUUGAGCUUCUUCGGUCCUUAAUUUGUCCAUUUCUUGGCUGCAUUUCAGGGUUCUCAACAGCAGAGGUGCCGUUAGUAGUCAGCUUAUAUCACGAUAGUUUUGGCUAUGGUGCAGCCUGAAAUGGCAUUUGUUGUGAAUGGGCUAAUGCAAUGGUGAAGAAACAAGAAACAAACUAAACUAAUGCAAAGUAAACCACAAAACAGAGCACAACAAUGCAAGAAGCAAAAGACACAAUAUAUGAGCCUUGAAAAUUUUUAAAAAGUGGAGUGAGGAUAUGAUUCAUGGAAGGAAGAUUUCAACUCUGAUUAAAUUGGGGUGAACUUUACCGAAAAGUACGUGACUCACAGCUUGUAGGACUUUCAGGUUAGUCAAAGGAGGUAAUAGUGCUACCUUUGAUUCUACUCUGGUUGCAUUCUUCAUAAAAAAUGGCAUUGUUUUCUAAUGUUUGUGUUUGAUCUCAUAUGAAUUUCUUUUCGUUCAUAAUUUUAAUAAAAAUAAUACAUAAUAAGUUAUUCAUGUUUAUGGCUAUUUGGUGUUUGGUUGUGUUAAAACACCCAGCUCCAUUCCUAUGGAUAAGAACACAUGUAUUGAUUUAUAUGAAACUGGUUAAAUUGAGUCGGAUGUGAUAGAAAAGGAAAAAAAUUGAUUAGAGAGCUAAAUCAAACAGAGACAUUGAGAAAUCACUGUAGAAUGCUUUUUCUAGGCAUUUUCGCAUUUUUUUGCCUGCUUUUCCCAUCUUAUUGCUUUUCCCCAUCUUCUAACAUCUCUAAAAGCCUGCUUUUCGCCUUCAUUCGAUUCUUAUACUCGAUCAUCUCUCUAUUUUGGAUGCAAAUUAAAUCAGAUCUGCAAGGUAAUUUCUUCAAUCUAAUAAAUGUUUUCUUUGCGAAUUCUAUAGUAUAAUUUUCAGAAAUGAAACACAAUGAAAAAAUUUGUGUUGUGUAGAAUUUUAAUAUGGGUUUUGGACGGUUUUUGGAUUAUAUCAGAUCAUCUCUCCAUUUUGGAUGCAAAUUAUAUCAGAUCUGGAAGGUAAUUUCUUCAAUCUAAUAGAUGUUUUCUUUCCGGGAAAGUUGACAAUGGCGUGGUAUGAGCGGAAGUGAAAAGCAACAAAGAAAGAUGAGCAAAAGGUGGCGAAGAAAGAUGAGCAGAAGAUGGAACUCGUGGAAUAAUCUCAGGCAAUGGAGCAGUAAUGAUGUUCAGGGAUCUGUGUGCGUUGUCAAAAGAUUUGAUGCAGUAAUUCACUUUGCCGGACUUAGGCUGUGGGUGAAAGUGCUGCUCAUCCAUUUCGUUAUUUUGAUGAUAGUUUGAUUGGAUCAAUCAAUUAGUACCAAACAAUGGCCAAAUAUAAUUGUAAAAAGCUACAAUUUAUGGACAACCUAAGAAAACUCCAUGUGUAGAAGAUUUUGAAUUAAAGGGCUAUGAAUCCAUAGAGCCGCACCAAGCUUUUCCUUGAAGAAAUUGCCCGAGAAAUAUCAAAUGCAGACAAAGAAUGGAGCAUAAUAUGGCGAAGGUACUUCAGCCUCGUUGGGGCACACGAGAGUGUUGAAUUAUUACUUGAAUGGCGUUGAUAUUGAGACUUGAAGAUCAGAUCAAUCUCAUGCCUCAGCUUUUAUUUGCAGAAGAAUGUAUGGAUUGACCAUGUGAAUUGCUUUUUAUCUUUUCCUUGCGCUUUUGCCUUUUGGUUCACAUGAUUUGAUCUUUGGGUCACUAAUUUUAUCUUGGUGUUCCCUGAGGAAAAAGAUGGCAAUAUAAGUCGAAAAGAGUGCAUAUAUACUUUUAGAUAGUGUUGAAUUACAGGAAAUUGUCAUUGAAAAUAUGGGCAUGUAGAUAACUGAUAUAUACCUCCAUAGACAUUUCAAAUGUUUGAAAUUUCGACGAGUGAGUGAGAGUGACAACUUGAGGUUUGUUUGAAGCAAAAUGGUGCAAUUUUUCAACAUUAGCCUCUUAAACGAUCACUAUUCUAUUUAAGAGCAAGAGUGACAACUUUAGGUUUGUUUGAAGCAAAAUCGUUGGAUGUUUCUGAACACCUUUUAGCAUAACACCUUAAAACCUUUUUUUUAAUUUAAGAGCAAUAAUACACAAAAUGAUUUUGAGCACAACUUCCCCCCUCGCUCUAGAUCAAUUACAUGAUAAUAGAAUGGGAUGUAUUCACCUUACAUAACACUUAAAUUUUAUUUUUACUAUGUUCUAAAGUUAAAUUUAAGCCAUAAAUCUUAUUUUUUAAGAGAUGCUCUUACAUAAUAUAAAAAUUUAUCUUAUUACAUUUUCACUCCUUUCAUCCUUUAUAUCUUUGUAACACAUACUC
Molecule: long non-coding RNA, 2447 nt
Organism: Amaranthus tricolor (Joseph's coat)
Lineage: Eukaryota; Viridiplantae; Streptophyta; Magnoliopsida; Caryophyllales; Amaranthaceae
Exons: 8
Source: RefSeq, a predicted model, not a curated record